GAUGAACGCUGGCGGCGUGCCUAAUACAUGCAAGUCGAGCGAACAGGCGAGGAGCUUGCUCCUCUGACGUUAGCGGCGGACGGGUGAGUAACACGUGGAUAACCUACCUAUAAGACUGGGAUAACUUCGGGAAACCGGAGCUAAUACCGGAUAAUAUAUUGAACCGCAUGGUUCAAUAGUGAAAGACGGUUUUGCUGUCACUUAUAGAUGGAUCCGCGCCGCAUUAGCUAGUUGGUAAGGUAACGGCUUACCAAGGCAACGAUGCGUAGCCGACCUGAGAGGGGGAUCGGCCACACGGGAGCUGAGACACGGUCCAGACUCCUACGAGAGGCAGCAGUAGGGAAUCGUCCGCAAUGGGCGAAAGCCUGACAGAGCAACGCCGCGUGAGUGAUGAAGGUCUUCGGAUCGUAAAGCUCUGUUAUUAGGGAAGAACAAAUGUGUAAGUAACUAUGCACGUCUUGACGGUACCUAAUCAGAAAGCCACGGCUAACUACGUG
This 497-nucleotide ribosomal RNA is filed under the name uncultured bacterium. RNAcentral's name for it is "partial 16S ribosomal RNA". It matches the Rfam family "Bacterial small subunit ribosomal RNA", at positions 28 to 507 of the family's 1533-position model. The record is from RNAcentral.